RNAcentral lists this small RNA (320 nucleotides) under Histoplasma capsulatum var. duboisii H88. RNAcentral's name for it is "Histoplasma capsulatum H88 hypothetical RNA". Lineage: Eukaryota; Fungi; Ascomycota; Eurotiomycetes; Onygenales; Ajellomycetaceae. The record is from RNAcentral.
GCAUUUGGGCGAUCUCACUAUCAUUGCAUUUUGCAUGCUCUUUUUCAUGAUGAGGAUAGUGAACUGGGCGGGGAAUAUGCAUGGCGAGUUGUGGAAGACUGCGAAAGGUGUACUCACUCAGUCAAGGGCCGCGAAAUCUUUUGACAUUCUUCCUCCGUAGCUGACGCCUACAGACAGAGUCAGCUGAUGCUUUCCAGCAGCAGACGGGGCAUACAACCGCGUAAUGCACCUGAGACCAUGCCAGUAGAAUGCCAGGCCGCAGUGUGUUAACCUGCGGUAGAAGUUGUGACGAAGUCCCAUACAGCUUCUCAAAAUAGAAC